AUGGCCGAAUGCUUUAAUAGGGUGCUCAAAGGUGCAUGUGGAUUACCCAUGACGGCAAUAGUUCAAUACACAUUUGACAAGAUGAAUGUGUACUUUCUAAAGUGCUUGGUGGAAAUAGAUGCACAGAUAGCGGGUGAGAACAAGCGCAAGUACAAGUACAAGUUCCCACCCAAGGUUGAUGAAUGGUUGGAAUUUCAAUCACGGAAGACGGACUCACAAGAAGCUAUACUAUAUGACAAUGAAGAGUGGAAGUACGAAGUGAAAGAUCCAGGAGGAACCACAAACGAUGGCCGCUAACAUGGAGGUCGGGCUUUCAAGGUCUCGUUAACACGGUGUGAUUACUCUUGCGGGAGGCCAUUGUUGCUUCAUCUCCCAUGCUCACACUUGUAUACCGCCGGUCGCGUUAGGAAUGUGGACGUCCAUCACCCCCUCACCAUGAGGGAGUCAGAGUUCUCAAUCAUGACGGUCAAGAAAACAUGGGCUCCCCGCUUUCACCCAUACCUUGACCAAUCACAAUGGCCGGAGUACCAUGGAGUUCAACUAUGGCCAGAUCCGGAGUUGAAGAUUGUUACACGGGGUAGACGUAAGACAAAGCGUCUUAGAGGCGACAUGGAUAGAUGGGGCCAUGCUGGCAGACGCGAAUUGGGCAACGACCAAUUCCAAGAGCCUCGUGAGAGCUCCCAUUGUGGGGAACGCAAAGGUCAUGGACACAACAAAAGAAAAUGUACCAAACCAAGAAAAAGGUCCAAGAAAAAUGAUGCAAGCACAAGCCAACAAGGAGCUACACAAGGUAGCCAACCAAGUGGUAGCCAACAAGUGCCAAGCCAACCAAGUGGUAGCCAACAAGUGCCAAGGCAACCAAGUGGUAGCCAAACUUUUCGUUCAACAUAUCUCUCUGGAUAG
This 903-nucleotide ribosomal RNA is filed under the name Triticum aestivum (bread wheat). RNAcentral describes it as "partial small subunit ribosomal RNA". The record is from RNAcentral. Lineage: Eukaryota; Viridiplantae; Streptophyta; Magnoliopsida; Poales; Poaceae.